AGCGAACGCUGGCGGCAGGCUUAACACAUGCAAGUCGAACGGGCGUAGCAAUACGUCAGUGGCAGACGGGUGAGUAACGCGUGGGAACGUACCUUUUGGUUCGGAACAACACAGGGAAACUUGUGCUAAUACCGGAUAAGCCCUUACGGGAAAGGAUUAUCGCCAAAAGAAUCGGCCCGCGUCUGAUUAGCUAGUUGGUGAGGUAACGGCUCACCAAGGCGACGAUCAGUAGCUGGUCNGAGAGGAUGAUCAGCCACAUUGGGACUGAGACACGGCCCAAACU
This 283-nucleotide ribosomal RNA is filed under the name uncultured bacterium. RNAcentral's name for it is "partial 16S ribosomal RNA". It matches the Rfam family "Bacterial small subunit ribosomal RNA", at positions 29 to 337 of the family's 1533-position model. The record is from RNAcentral.